Long non-coding RNA from Canis lupus familiaris (dog), 535 nucleotides. RefSeq lists it as uncharacterized. The record is from RefSeq and is a predicted model, not a curated record. The transcript has 3 exons. Lineage: Eukaryota; Metazoa; Chordata; Mammalia; Carnivora; Canidae.
CCACAUGGAAUCACUGGGAGGGUGACAUCUGGAGAGAGCAUGAAAGCUCCUCACCCCCUCCCCAUACCAUGCUCCAUAUACUUCUUCAUCCAGCUGUUCACCUUUUUGUCCAUCAUUUGAUGGUCUACAGCUAACUACUACACAUCUUCCAGACUGUGAAAAUAUGCUUAAUACAUCCAUCUGAAACUGGCAUCUUUAAAGAAGGAAACUGACACUGUCUGAUUUUAAAGUUAAACACUCAACUCUCAAGCACCUAGAAGGCCUGCCAGAGUCCUGAUUGGAGGCCUGGCUUGCCUUUAUGAAAAUACUUCUCUCUGAGACUUAACUCAGGAUUGCCCUUCUUCCUUCCUUUGCCCAAGGCUCUAGCUGGUGCCAUCGAUUGCAUGAAGCCUUCCCUGGCUAGCUUUAUCCACAACUGACUGAGAAUACCUACAAACCAUAAUGCCUCUAUCACUCAUGUGAUGACUGGCAGUUAGUGCCCUGACUCUGAGCUAACUUUUCAGUGUUUAUAUCCAGUGUUUUCAAAUAAACUAUA